CUCCCAACUGCUGAGAUACAUUGCAAAAAAUGACUACAGCAGCCAAAAAUAAUAAUGCUGUUUGCAAGCAGCUCUUCCUAUAUCUAAGGAAGAACUAGCCACCAUGUGAGUUUGUGCAGGUUUUGGAAAACUACGCACGGAAACAAUAAAUCCCACCAACCCCAGCCUAAAAUACACGGCAUCGGGACGCGUGGGAAGCUGUGGUCUGUUACAGAAGGAGGUGGCAGUAUCAAGGAAGAUUCAUAUCCAGAAAAAUCUGCAUGCACCUUCCAGCAAAGAAGAUAGCAAAGCAGUUAUCUAUUGUGUAUCGUGUUGGAUUGAAUUGCCGAGUCAGGGAGAUAUAUCUCUCCCUAGACAUGAAACACAACGCGGAAUAUGUUAUCCUUUUACACACAGUAUUUACAGAUGUGCAGGUUUUCCCUUUUAAGAAUGACAAUGAUUCCCAUCUCCUCACACUGCAACUCUACUAUUAGAUCCAGUUCUGUAUGGAUAAUAAAAAUUCAAUAAAAUUUUUAAUUGGUACAUGAA
Long non-coding RNA from Dipodomys spectabilis (banner-tailed kangaroo rat), 528 nucleotides. RefSeq lists it as uncharacterized. Lineage: Eukaryota; Metazoa; Chordata; Mammalia; Rodentia; Heteromyidae. The transcript is spliced from 3 exons. The record is from RefSeq and is a predicted model, not a curated record.